Molecule: ribosomal RNA, 656 nt
Filed under: Escherichia coli
Lineage: Bacteria; Pseudomonadati; Pseudomonadota; Gammaproteobacteria; Enterobacterales; Enterobacteriaceae
Description: partial 23S ribosomal RNA
Rfam family: Bacterial large subunit ribosomal RNA
Source: RNAcentral
ACAGCCAGGAUGUUGGCUUAGAAGCAGCCAUCAUUUAAAGAAAGCGUAAUAGCUCACUGGUCGAGUCGGCCUGCGCGGAAGAUGUAACGGGGCUAAACCAUGCACCGAAGCUGCGGCAGCGACGCUUAUGCGUUGUUGGGUAGGGGAGCGUUCUGUAAGCCUGUGAAGGUGUGCUGUGAGGCAUGCUGGAGGUAUCAGAAGUGCGAAUGCUGACAUAAGUAACGAUAAAGCGGGUGAAAAGCCCGCUCGCCGGAAGACCAAGGGUUCCUGUCCAACGUUAAUCGGGGCAGGGUGAGUCGACCCCUAAGGCGAGGCCGAAAGGCGUAGUCGAUGGGAAACAGGUUAAUAUUCCUGUACUUGGUGUUACUGCGAAGGGGGGACGGAGAAGGCUAUGUUGGCCGGGCGACGGUUGUCCCGGUUUAAGCGUGUAGGCUGGUUUUCCAGGCAAAUCCGGAAAAUCAAGGCUGAGGCGUGAUGACGAGGCACUACGGUGCUGAAGCAACAAAUGCCCUGCUUCCAGGAAAAGCCUCUAAGCAUCAGGUAACAUCAAAUCGUACCCCAAACCGACACAGGUGGUCAGGUAGAGAAUACCAAGGCGCUUGAGAGAACUCGGGUGAAGGAACUAGGCAAAAUGGUGCCGUAACUUCGGGAGAAGG